GUGCAAAGGUAGCAUAAUCAUUAGGGAUUUAAUUGGAACCUGGAAUGAAGGGUCGAACAAGGAAAAAGCUGUCUCUAUAGUAUAAGUUGAAAUUUACUUUUAAGUGAAAAGGCUUAAAUAUAUCAAAGGGACGAUAAGACCCUAUAAAGCUUUAUAGGUGGGUUAGACUUAGUUGAUUUAGAUAGAUAAAAAUUAAGUUUGAUUACUUUAUUUCAUUGGGGUGAUGUGAGUAUAAUUAUUAUUAACUGCUUAAAAAAAAUACUUUUAUAAAAGAAUUGAAAGGGUAUGAUCCUUUUUAGAGAUUAUAAGACUAAGUUACUUUAGGGAUAACAGCGUUAUUUCUUUUGAGAGUUCUUAUCGAAAAAGAAGAUUGCGACCUCGAUGUUGAAUUAAAAUAUCUAUAUAAUGCAGUCGUUAUAAAAGAGGGUCUGUUCGACCUUUAAAUUUUUACAUGAUUUGAGUUCA
RNAcentral lists this ribosomal RNA (465 nucleotides) under Actaeodes mutatus. RNAcentral's name for it is "partial 16S ribosomal RNA". It matches the Rfam family "Bacterial large subunit ribosomal RNA", at positions 1948 to 2613 of the family's 2925-position model. The record is from RNAcentral. Lineage: Eukaryota; Metazoa; Arthropoda; Malacostraca; Decapoda; Xanthidae.